Lotus japonicus is the source of this 407-nucleotide long non-coding RNA. RefSeq lists it as uncharacterized. The transcript has 3 exons. Lineage: Eukaryota; Viridiplantae; Streptophyta; Magnoliopsida; Fabales; Fabaceae. The record is from RefSeq and is a predicted model, not a curated record.
AUACAUACACUUUGGUUGCUGCAAAUGAUGUUCUGCUAGAUUCCCAAGUUAUGAAGUACAACCCCAUGGAUUGAACUUGAUAGAGGGGAUUGUUCUUCUUUGUGGCUAUUCUUACAACUUUGUUUCUGGUACUGCAUUAAUAAAGAAAGUCUCUAAAACAGCAAAAACCCUUGAAGCAGUUUGAUAUGUUCUUUGAAUAGAGAAUGUUUCUCCUAAAAGGAAACUAGAUCCAGUUCAUGUUGGCCUUCUUGACAUUCUUAUCACAAUCAGGGUUCGUAAGGGCUGAUUUUAGCAUGCCUACUAAAAUAAAACACUGAGGCAUUUGUUCAAACAAAUAUAUUUGACCCUUCAACCAAAGGAACCAUAAAACUACUCAAGUCCUGUUUGAAAUCCAAUUCUGUGAAAAG